Molecule: ribosomal RNA, 433 nt
Filed under: uncultured bacterium
Lineage: Bacteria
Description: partial 16S ribosomal RNA
Rfam family: Bacterial small subunit ribosomal RNA
Source: RNAcentral
AACGAACGCUGGCGGCAUGCCUAACACAUGCAAGUCGAACGAGACCUUCGGGUCUAGUGGCGCACGUGUGCGUAACGCGUGGGAACCUGCCCUUAGGUUCGGAAUAACUCCCCGAAAGGGGUGCUAAUACCGGAUAAUGUCUUAGGACCAAAGACUUAUCGCCUUUGGAUGGGCCCGCGUUGGAUUAGCUAGUUUGUAGGGUAAAAGCCUACCAAGGCGACGAUCCAUAGCUGGUCUGAGAGGAUGAUCAGCCACACUGGGACUGAGACACGGCCCAGACUCCUACGGGAGGCAGCAGUGGGGAAUAUUGGACAAUGGGCGAAAGCCUGAUCCAGCAAUGCCGCGUGAGUGAUGAAGGCCUUAGGGUUGUAAAGCUCUUUUACCCGGGAUGAUAAUGACAGUACCGAGAGAAUAAGCUCCGGCUAACUCCGUG